UGAGGAAUAUUGGUCAAUGGACGGAAGUCUGAACCAGCCAUGCCGCGUGAAGGAAGAAUGCCCUAUGGGUUGUAAACUUCUUUUGCCGCAGAGUAAUAAGGGGCGUGCGCGCCCCGAUGAGAGUAUGCGGCGAAUAAGCAUCGGCUAACUCCGUGCCAGCAGCCGCGGUAAUACGGAGGAUGCGAGCGUUAUCCGGAUUUAUUGGGUUUAAAGGGUGCGCAGGCGGACAGCUAAGUCAGCGGUGAAAUAUCCCGGCUCAACCGGGAGGCUGCCGUUGAUACUGGCUGACUUGAGUCCAAACGGCGCCGGCGGAAUAUGUAAUGUAGCGGUGAAAUGCAUAGAUAUUACAUAGAACACCGAUCGCGAAGGCAGCUGGCGAGGAUGGCACUGACGCUGAGGCACGAAGGCGUGGGGAUCAAACAGG
Molecule: ribosomal RNA, 424 nt
Filed under: uncultured prokaryote
Also listed under: 1 other name
Description: bacterial SSU rRNA
Rfam family: Bacterial small subunit ribosomal RNA
Source: RNAcentral